RNAcentral lists this ribosomal RNA (1454 nucleotides) under uncultured organism. RNAcentral's name for it is "SSU rRNA". It matches the Rfam family "Bacterial small subunit ribosomal RNA". The record is from RNAcentral.
GUCGGCAGGCCUAACACAUGCAAGUCGAACGGUAACAGGAAACAGCUUGCUGUUUCGCUGACGAGUGGCGGACGGGUGAGUAAUGUCUGGGAAACUGCCUGAUGGAGGGGGAUAACUACUGGAAACGGUAGCUAAUACCGCAUAACGUCGCAAGACCAAAGAGGGGGACCUUCGGGCCUCUUGCCAUCGGAUGUGCCCAGAUGGGAUUAGCUUGUUGGUGGGGUAACGGCUCACCAAGGCGACGAUCCCUAGCUGGUCUGAGAGGAUGACCAGCCACACUGGAACUGGGACACGGUCCAGACUCCUACGGGAGGCAGCAGUGGGGAAUAUUGCACAAUGGGCGCAAGCCUGAUGCAGCCAUGCCGCGUGUAUGAAGAAGGCCUUCGGGUUGUAAAGUACUUUCAGCGGGGAGGAAGGGAGUAAAGUUAAUACCUUUGCUCAUUGACGUUACCCGCAGAAGAAGCACCGGCUAACUCCGUGCCAGCAGCCGCGGUAAUACGGAGGGUGCAAGCGUUAAUCGGAAUUACUGGGCGUAAAGCGCACGCAGGCGGUUUGUUAAGUCAGAUGUGAAAUCCCCGGGCUCAACCUGGGAACUGCAUCUGAUACUGGCAAGCUUGAGUCUCGUAGAGGGGGGUAGAAUUCCAGGUGUAGCGGUGAAAUGCGUAGAGAUCUGGAGGAAUACCGGUGGCGAAGGCGGCCCCCUGGACGAAGACUGACGCUCAGGUGCGAAAGCGUGGGGAGCAAACAGGAUUAGAUACCCUGGUAGUCCACGCCGUAAACGAUGUCGACUUGGAGGUUGUGCCCUUGAGGCGUGGCUUCCGGAGCUAACGCGUUAAGUCGACCGCCUGGGGAGUACGGCCGCAAGGUUAAAACUCAAAUGAAUUGACGGGGGCCCGCACAAGCGGUGGAGCAUGUGGUUUAAUUCGAUGCAACGCGAAGAACCUUACCUGGUCUUGACAUCCACGGAAGUUUUCAGAGAUGAGAAUGUGCCUUCGGGAACCGUGAGACAGGUGCUGCAUGGCUGUCGUCAGCUCGUGUUGUGAAAUGUUGGGUUAAGUCCCGCAACGAGCGCAACCCUUAUCCUUUGUUGCCAGCGGUCCGGCCGGGAACUCAAAGGAGACUGCCAGUGAUAAACUGGAGGAAGGUGGGGAUGACGUCAAGUCAUCAUGGCCCUUACGACCAGGGCUACACACGUGCUACAAUGGCGCAUACAAAGAGAAGCGACCUCGCGAGAGCAAGCGGACCUCAUAAAGUGCGUCGUAGUCCGGAUUGGAGUCUGCAACUCGACUCCAUGAAGUCGGAAUCGCUAGUAAUCGUGGAUCAGAAUGCCACGGUGAAUACGUUCCCGGGCCUUGUACACACCGCCCGUCACACCAUGGGAGUGGGUUGCAAAAGAAGUAGGUAGCUUAACCUUCGGGAGGGCGCUUACCACUUUGUGAUUCAUGACUGGGGUG